RNAcentral lists this non-coding RNA (98 nucleotides) under Lactococcus lactis. RNAcentral's name for it is "Guanine sequence". It matches the Rfam family "Purine riboswitch aptamer". Rfam says of the family: Riboswitches are metabolite binding domains within certain messenger RNAs that serve as precision sensors for their corresponding targets. Allosteric rearrangement of mRNA structure is mediated by ligand binding, and this results in modulation of gene expression. A class of riboswitches that selectively recognises guanine and becomes saturated at concentrations as low as 5 nM. The record is from RNAcentral. Lineage: Bacteria; Bacillati; Bacillota; Bacilli; Lactobacillales; Streptococcaceae. RNAcentral also lists the same sequence under 1 other name.
UUGAGCUGCUAUAAACAAUCUUAUUUAUACCUAGAAUAUGGCUGGGCGUUUCUACCUCGUACCGUAAAUGCGAGACAAUAAGGAAAUUCGAUUUUUCA